Molecule: ribosomal RNA, 448 nt
Filed under: uncultured bacterium
Lineage: Bacteria
Description: bacterial SSU rRNA
Rfam family: Bacterial small subunit ribosomal RNA
Source: RNAcentral
UCCAGACUCCUACGGGAGGCAGCAGUGGGGAAUAUUGGGCAAUGGGCGCAAGCCUGACCCAGCAACGCCGCGUGAAGGAAGAAGGCUUUCGGGUUGUAAACUUCUUUUGACAGGGAAGAGUAGAAGACGGUACCUGUCGAAUAAGCCACGGCUAACUACGUGCCAGCAGCCGCGGUAAUACGUAGGUGGCAAGCGUUGUCCGGAUUUACUGGGUGUAAAGGGCGUGUAGCCGGGUUGACAAGUCAGAUGUGAAAUCCUGCGGCUUAACCGCAGAACUGCAUUUGAAACUAUUGGUCUUGAGUACCGGAGAGGUCAUCGGAAUUCCUUGUGUAGCGGUGAAAUGCGUAGAUAUAAGGAAGAACACCAGUGGCGAAGGCGGAUGACUGGACGGCAACUGACGGUGAGGCGCGAAAGCGUGGGGAGCAAACAGGAUUAGAUACCCUUGUAU